AGUGAACGCUGGCGGUAGGCCUAACACAUGCAAGUCGAACGGCAGCACAGUAAGAGCUUGCUCUUACGGGUGGCGAGUGGCGGACGGGUGAGGAAUACAUCGGAAUCUACUUUUUCGUGGGGGAUAACGUAGGGAAACUUACGCUAAUACCGCAUACGACCUACGGGUGAAAGUAGGGGAUCUUCGGACCUUGCGCGAUUGAAUGGGCCGAUGUCGGAUUAGCUAGUUGGCGGGGUAAAGGCCCACCAAAGCGACGAUCCGUAGCUGGUCUGAGAGGAUGAUCAGCCACACUGGAACUGAGACACGGUCCAGACUACUACGGGAGGCAGCAGUGGGGAAUAUUGGACAAAGGGCGCAAGCCUGAUCCAGCCAUACCGCGUGGGUGAAGAAGGCCUUCGGGUUGUAAAGCCCUUUUGUUGGGAAAGAAAAGCAGCAGGUUAAUACCCCGCUGUUCUGACGGUACCCAAAGAAUAAGCACCGGCUAACUUCGUG
RNAcentral lists this ribosomal RNA (492 nucleotides) under uncultured bacterium. RNAcentral describes it as "partial 16S ribosomal RNA". It matches the Rfam family "Bacterial small subunit ribosomal RNA", at positions 29 to 507 of the family's 1533-position model. The record is from RNAcentral.